Molecule: ribosomal RNA, 500 nt
Filed under: uncultured bacterium
Lineage: Bacteria
Description: partial 16S ribosomal RNA
Rfam family: Bacterial small subunit ribosomal RNA
Source: RNAcentral
AUUGAACGCUGGCGGCAUGCUUUACACAUGCAAGUCGAACGGCAGCACGGGGGCAACCCUGGUGGCGAGUGGCGAACGGGUGAGUAAUAUAUCGGAACAUGUCCGGAAGUGGGGGAUAACGUAGCGAAAGUUACGCUAAUACCGCAUAUGCCCUGAGGGGGAAAGGGGGGGAUCGCAAGACCUCUCGCUUUCGGAGUGGCCGAUAUCAGAUUAGCUAGUUGGUGGGGUAAAGGCCUACCAAGGCAACGAUCUGUAGCUGGUCUGAGAGGACGACCAGCCACACGGGGAAUGAGACACGGCCCAGACUCCUACGGGAGGCAGCAGUGGGGAAUUUUGGACAAUGGGGGCAACCCUGAUCCAGCCAUGCCGCGUGAGUGAAGAAGGCCUUCGGGUUGUAAAGCUCUUUCGGACAGAAAGAAAUCGUGCAGAAUAAUACUCUGUAUGGAUGACGGUACUGUAAGAAGAAGCACCGGCUAACUACGUGCCAGCCGCCGCGGUAA